UAUAAAUAAUUUCAUCUAUUUCUAUUGUUAAAAACUAGUGUUGCUAAUAGAAUAACCAAACAGUUACAUAUGAUAUGUCACAUGUACCUCAUUCUAACAUAAAUGAACCAGUUUUUAACAGUAGAAUUGAUGAUUUUUUUAAUA
Molecule: non-coding RNA, 144 nt
Organism: Gossypium hirsutum (cotton)
Lineage: Eukaryota; Viridiplantae; Streptophyta; Magnoliopsida; Malvales; Malvaceae
Source: Rfam